Molecule: ribosomal RNA, 497 nt
Filed under: uncultured bacterium
Lineage: Bacteria
Description: partial 16S ribosomal RNA
Rfam family: Bacterial small subunit ribosomal RNA
Source: RNAcentral
GAUGAACGCUGGCGGCGUGCCUAAUACAUGCAAGUCGAGCGAACAGACGAGGAGCUUGCUCCUCUGACGUUAGCGGCGGACGGGUGAGUAACACGUGGAUAACCUACCUAUAAGACUGGGAUAACUUCGGGAAACCGGAGCUAAUACCGGAUAAUAUAUUGAACCGCAUGGUUCAAUAGUGAAAGACGGUUUUGCUGUCACUUAUAGAUGGAUCCGCGCCGCAUUAGCUAGUUGGUAAGGUAACGGCUUACCAAGGCAACGAUGCGUAGCCGACCUGAGAGGGUGAUCGGCCACACUGGAACUGAGACACGGUCCAGACGCCUACGGGAGGCAGCAGUAGGGAAUCUUCCGCAAUGGGCGAAAGCUUGACGGAGCAACGCCGCGUGAGUGAUGAAGGUCUUCGGAUCGUAAAACUCUGUUAUUAGGGAAGAACAAAUGUGUAAGUAAAUAUGCACGUCUUGACGGUACCUAAUCAGAAAGCCACGGCUAACUACGUG